UACAGAGGUCCCGAGCGUUGUUCGGAUUCACUGGGCGUAAAGGGUGCGUAGGUGGCAUGAUAAGUUUGAUGUGAAAUCUCCGGGCUCAACCCGGAAAAUGCAUUGAAUACUAUCAGGCUGGAGGUUUGGAGGGGGGGACUGGAAUUCUCGGUGUAGCAGUGAAAUGCGUAGAUAUCGAGAGGAACACCAGUGGCGAAAGCGGCUACCUGGACCAGCACUGACACUGAGGCACGAAAGCGUGGGGAGCAAACAGG
RNAcentral lists this ribosomal RNA (254 nucleotides) under uncultured bacterium. Its description in RNAcentral is "partial 16S ribosomal RNA". It matches the Rfam family "Bacterial small subunit ribosomal RNA", at positions 524 to 776 of the family's 1533-position model. The record is from RNAcentral.